Molecule: transfer RNA, 65 nt
Filed under: Idioscopus ventrispinus
Lineage: Eukaryota; Metazoa; Arthropoda; Insecta; Hemiptera; Cicadellidae
Description: tRNA-Gly
Source: RNAcentral
AUUCAUUUAAUAUAAAAAGUAUAUUUAGCUUCCAACUAAAAAGUUCAUAAACUACGGAAUGAAUA